GCAGCAGCCGCGGGAAUACGAAGGGUGCAAGCGUUAAUCGGAAUUACUGGGCGUAAGGGGUGCGUAGGCGGUUGUUUAAGUCUGAUGUGAAAUCCCCGAGCUUAACUUGGGAACUGCAUUUGAAGCUGGCAAGCUAGAGUCUUGUAGAGGGGGGUAGAAUUCCAGGUGUAGCGGUGAAAUGCGUAGAGAUGUGGAGGAAUACCGAUGGCGAAGGCAGCCCCCUGGGCCAAUACUGACGCUCAUGCACGAAAGCGUGGGGAGCAAACAGGAUUAGAUACCCCAGUAGUCCCUGUCUCUUAUAC
This 302-nucleotide ribosomal RNA is filed under the name uncultured bacterium. Its description in RNAcentral is "partial 16S ribosomal RNA". It matches the Rfam family "Bacterial small subunit ribosomal RNA", at positions 508 to 807 of the family's 1533-position model. The record is from RNAcentral.